AAAUCUAAAAUGAUAUAGGAACCUAAUUAGAUAUAUGAUCUUCAGCAAAGAAAGAAAAAGCCCAACUUUUGUUUGCUUCCCUUCUUUCUAAUAAAGAGGAUUUAGGUAUUUGUGAAUGAAAUGUUGACGCUCGACGUGAUUCGAUCUCCCCUGGAAAGCUGCGAUUCAAGAGAGAUGCCGCUCAAAUCGGAACCGGAAUCGGAUUAGAAUUCGAAUUAGGAUCGAUGUGAAGAAAUGAAAUCGAAUUCGGAUUCGGAGUCGGAAUCAGAUUGGGAUUGGACUCGGAUACCCGUGGAAGAUCUUAAGGAGAGUGACUUCCGUAGACGGUAUGAGGAUGACCCUAAAGCUUUUGCUUUUGUGUGUCCCCGGUUUCAGUAUAAGAACAAAGCACAGAUCAAUCUUGAAAAGGAUAUUGAAGAGUAUAAGAGGCUCUCUCGCAACCUUAGUCCCUACGAUGCUAUACCACUUCCACUCAAUUCAGGUUUAUGUGGUAAUACAAAAGCUAGACCCACGAGCUUAACAUAUCAUCGCCCACUUCUUACUCAUCUCUCUAAACUUGCUUUAGACAUGUACAAUGCUGACAAUCAGGGUGCCAAUUUUGAGUUUGAUGACCUUGUCAAAGCAACAAGACGUCCUAUUUCUGGUGGUAUAUAUUACAUUACCUUUCAAGCAAAAGAUGCUACAACCACUUCAUCAAACUUCCCUGCUAAAACUUUCCAGGCACAAGUCGGUAACAUGAAGCCUGGACCCCCUGUGGUCGAGUCGUGUUCCAUUAAGGCUGACUAACACAUUUAUCUACAUCUGAGAUUAGAAAUAUAAUUUUUGUCUGGUUUGUUAAAAUGGUUGAAACAUACAGAGGGGGUUUGGAGCUUCUUUAUGACUCCAUAAAGAUUCACAAUGUCAAUGUUGAACAGCAAAAUGGAGAAGAUAAGUUAACCAUGAAAGGGUUGCUUGCUUGGGUGAAAACCAAUUUGAUUAAGGAGAAGCCCAAAAUGUUCAUGAAAGGAGAUACUGCGUGAGCUUAAUGAUAUUAAUAGAUCCGAAUCAUGCAGCAUUGGUUGAAGGUUGUUUCUCUAGAGUGAGCUUAUUUUUAAAGUGAGUAAUUAAGGGUGUAGCUACUGUCAGUUUUAUCUGAAGUGCACCAUUAACUGAUAAAAUAUUUUUAGUAGAAUAAACACAAUUGUUGGAGUCAUGGUGAAUUAAAAUUUGGCAAUCAAAUUUGCUGAAUCAACUUACAUAGCCUAGUAUAUGCAUUAAACAAUGCACUUUCACCGCUGUUAUAUUAUGCUAUUAUACUUCAUGGCUUUUGGCAAAAAAUGUAGAACAUGUGUGAUAUUAACAAAUUAAAAUUUUCUUACUGCAUA
Molecule: RNA transcript, 1364 nt
Organism: Cicer arietinum (chickpea)
Lineage: Eukaryota; Viridiplantae; Streptophyta; Magnoliopsida; Fabales; Fabaceae
Source: RefSeq, a predicted model, not a curated record